UAAGCAAGCCCUCCGGUGCGU
Molecule: unclassified non-coding RNA, 21 nt
Filed under: Chlamydomonas reinhardtii
Lineage: Eukaryota; Viridiplantae; Chlorophyta; Chlorophyceae; Chlamydomonadales; Chlamydomonadaceae
Description: small RNA Cre_2142
Source: RNAcentral